AACGCACAUUGCGCCCACUAGUAUUCUGGUGGGCAUGCCUGUUCGAGCGUCAUUUCAACCCUUAAGCCCCUGUUGCUUAGCGUUAGGAGCCUACCGGAACUCUCUGGUAGCUCCCCAAAGUCAGUGGCGGAGCCGGUUCGCACUCCAGACGUAGUAGCUUUUACACGUCGCCUGUAGCGCGGGCCGGCCCCCUGCCGUAAAACACCCCAAUUUUUAUAGGUUGACCUCGGAUCAGGUAGGAGUACCCGCUGAACUUAA
Molecule: unclassified non-coding RNA, 258 nt
Filed under: uncultured Nemania
Lineage: Eukaryota; Fungi; Ascomycota; Sordariomycetes; Xylariales; Xylariaceae
Description: partial contains 5.8S ribosomal RNA, internal transcribed spacer 2, and large subunit ribosomal RNA
Source: RNAcentral